CAUUACAAGCAUAAAAACAGACUACUGACAUUGCCAACAGAUGUCGAGCCAGUUUAUUUUUUGCCAUUACAACUCCAGUAGGGAAUGAAGCAGCAGGUGGAAAAGACGCAGUCCUGUAGUUUUUCUUCUUUAGCAUCCAGACGAUCUGUGCUGCUGAAUCAUCAAUUGCCAUGCUAUGUUCUUUUCAAAUACAUCAUGGGAAUAAGGCUGGGUGUCAAACCUUAAUCCUUUUGAGUACCUCAUCUGUAACUGUCAAAUAGAGAGCCUGACAUUUAAUUUCUAGUUUAGUUUAAUCUAGUUUAGUUAGACAUCUAGUUUGUUUGCUCUGGUAAUUACCAACAUCAAGGAGGCGGAUUUGAGGCUCUUUGAGGCUCAAAUGUCUGUCUGUCUGUCCAUUUGCACCAUAAUGAAAUAAGACUGACCACAAUAAUACAUUUUAAAAAAUGCAUUGGGUUACAUUGAUGAAGUAAUGUAAAGUCAUAUUAGGGCCAUGACAAUAAAAACGUGUUUUAACCAUUUAGGAUAUAAGAGGUUCAAAUGGGAAAGAGAUGCUUGUUGGUGGGUUUACAGUUUACAGUCAGCCGCAUGGCCAGUAAAACCCCUCCUUUUCUGUUAAUGAGCCCGGAGACAUGGCUUUCAGAGGCCCCCAGCCGGAGCUGGACCAAAUCAAAGCAUCCACAGGGAUUGAGGCUCCGAGCCAAAAGGUUUACUUGAGGGAAAGGAGUUUGGUCGCUUCACUGGCACAAGACCAAGGAGAGAAGCUUUUAGAGCAACAAUAGGGAAAUUAUUGGAGUAAUUUGACUAGAACCACAAUUCUGUUUUAUAAUUAUUGUGGUUCUCGUGGUUCUAUUCCAGGUAAGUGCCAUUUUGGUGAGCCACAGUCAGGAGCAGCAGAGUUUUCCAGACACCGCAUCAUGAAACAGGUUUCUCACAUAACUCAAGGGAAAGUGACUGCUGCAAGGUCAGAACGUUGGCUUGGCAGACAUCCAGAGACAGUGGAGCUCCUCUGCUCCUUGUGGACCCUUCCAUUGUCUGGAGAUAUCCAGAAUAGAGCAGAGAAGACAUCUAUGGUCCUGGUUGUUGUAGGUCCCAAAAGCACAAUUUGGGCACACGCAUCAAGAGACUCAAUUCAGUCAACAGCUCCUCACUAACCACAAUAAAGCACCAGAUAAUCAUGACAAAAGAUCUUGGGCUUACAAGAGAUCAAAAUGCAAAUCUGAUCUCUCAGGGUUAGCAGAGUAUUCCCUUUGCCCUGCCACAAGUGUCUGAUUUAUUAAUCAUAAUAAAGUGCAGACUAAGGGUGAUAUUCACCACCAAAACGAGAAAGACACAGAGAGAAACUAUUUGAUAUUCUGACAGAAAAAAACAGAGCAAAUCUGUUCUGUGCUACUAAGGCCUGCUGAGGCAGCCCCCUCUGCCACUGCAGCAAUAACAACAUGUGGUUUGGCUGCACAGCACCAGUUUACAGUGGGAAGAGAAGGGGCGCUAAAUUAAUUUCAGAUUCUGUGGGAGAGUCAUAAACAAAGCACGACAUCCAGAGAGGGAGCUGCAGUGUUUGGUCACAAUUUUAGAAAACACUUUAUCAGCAUCUCCUGAGAGUUUUUGGAAAAUUAUUAUUAGAAAUAAUACAAACAUAAUUUGCAUUGUUCUGGUAGCAGGCAUGGCAUGUAUUUUGAAAGGAGAAUCACAGUCUAUCGCAGUUAUUUUGGAGGAGAAUACGAGAAUAAUAGUUUUUUCUCACCAAAUUUAUUUUGGUCCUGAUCUUAAUAGAUUAAAACCGACAUGACAGAUUGCUGUUUGUUUUCAGCUAGAGAGAAAACUUUGGUUUAAUGAGUAAAUUCUUGGCCUGAGCAUGUUAAAAAGGGAAGGCUUUUUUUUAUUAAUGUCAGUUUAAGUAGGGCUGUCCUCAGAGGUCUGAUUCGGCCUUUCUCACGAGGCUCCCGAACCAUAAUCUCUUGAAAUAUUUGUACAGAUGACGGCAGCACUUGGCUGUUUUGACAUGGAGCAGCAUAAGCAAGAUCUUGCACUCACUUUUUCCAUCACUUUUCUGUUCAGGAACAGGAAUUCCCCCUCUUCCCGCUUUUCCCCACAAGCUACUCACACAUCUCUAACCAGCCCAGCGUAUAACCCUCCCAGCAGUCCUUCCUCCACUUCCUCAGCCUGCUAGGAUUUGUCCAAUCAGGGCAACACGGUGGGGGCCUUUACAACCCGCUUCACAGCUAGCUCCUGCAGUCUAUGCUUUCCACUCAUUCAAGCAUAUUGUUUUCACUCUAUCAGAGAUGCCAAAAUAUGUUCACCAAGAUCAGAGGUGGAUCACAGAUGCUGGAGGUGUUAUGAGGAGUUUGUCUCCCUGGUCUGCUUGGUUCAGUGUGUUUGGAUAAAAUGAUACGAUUUAUGGUACAGAAACUGUUUAGCCAAAAAUCCUAGGACAAGUUACUGUUGUGUGAGUAGAAUCUGUUCAAGGGCCGUAAAACAUUCUGACAUUAAAUGUGCUGUUGCAUCAUGAGAACUAAAAAAUUCAAAGGUCCAUCUCUGCAGCUGUUUUGCUAGAUCUAACCUACUGACAAACACAUCACUGCUGUUUGUUUUUUUUUUUUUUUAUUUCCUUUUUCCUAAGUACAUGCUUGAAUGUGCAUGUCUCUCUGCAGACAAUGCCGACACAAAAGUCUACUGACACUCACGGGUUGGCAGCCCUGCAGGAAUCUCUUCCCAAUUGGUGCCGUGGGGCUCCUUCCAAGCCACUUGAACUUGGCAGGGUUUACCUGGAAGAGCCUACCCGUACGCCUGCACACGCUCUCCAUCUCAGCCAAGACAGGAGGCCUCAAUGUAAACUACGGCAGCUGAAGUCAGCCACAGGAAGAAGGAGGUGAGCCGAGCAAUGUAUCCGCUGCCGCACCCCUGAGCUCUCGACCACACAAAGAGUCGAUCCAGCAGCUGUCAAACAACACUAUCUUUGGGUAUCGUCCAGUUUGUGCUCGCCUCCUGGAUCCGUGGUCUCUGGUUGGCUCGUGUGUUUGGCUACGGUGCAUCUGCUGCAACAACAUCCUUUUGGCCAGAGUUCAGACCCGUGAAAGGCUACAAUAGCCUGAAGGUGGCUGCCCAGACCAUUGUUUAUGCAACAGCUCACUACUGCCAGGUUAAAGGGGAAGGGAGCAGAAGAUGAAUUUUAAAGGGCUUCUAAAUAAAAGGAGCCACAUAGAUAUCAUUCAUAAGAUACUUUCUGCUGCCAAUUACACUUAUAUUCAAUAAUAAUAAUGGGCACUGGGUUUAAUUAUAGUGUUUUACAAAUUGCAAUUUUGUUUAAAGAAGAAAUAAAAUGUUAAGAUUUUAUGAAUUUUCAUUGUAACUACAGUAGAGAAGCUAACCAAAUCCAUCAAAUCGAGUGAGACCCACAUAACAGCUGUUCGGUAAACAUACCAGAGUAAUUGUGUGUGAAAAGCCUUACUUUAACAGAUUUUAAACAGAGAUUAAAUGCAAUUAGAGGUCAUUUAUCGGACCACAACAGGACCCUGGACCAAAUGAACAUCCUCUGUCAUUGUUUCUAACAGUUCUACAGAAUCUAGGCGUAUUUCAGCUUGGAAUGUGAUGGCCUUUUUUUUCCACCAGCGAAGCUUCCUUGUGUACAGGAAGGAACAUUAAUACAAAGAAAACAUGUGGUCCUCACAGAGAAUGUAUAUAAUAAUAAAAAAAAAAACCUUCAGCUUAAGGUCUUCUGAGGUGAAUAUGAGGAAUUUAGGUCAGUGAAGCUGAGAAGUUUAACCAGCUCAAGCCGCUGCAGCCUGGGUGGAAAUAGCAUGGGAGGCCAGUGAGGGGGAAAACAGUGCGUCACAGCUCCCGGCUUGAUUCCAGACUCCCCCUGACGCAAACAACGGCCAUAACUAUCCAAAUCAUCUUUGACCAUGUACGCCUUGAACACUUUCCGCCAACAGGCAGCACUUCCUCCUAACCUUUGACCUUGGAGAGGGUGUGCCCACCUUGGACUGUACACAAAGCAAAGAGAAUGUGAGCACAGCUGUGAUUGGCAAAUCUGUGAUGUUUGAGUACACAGUUGCCUAAAAUCUGUAAUCCAAGUAUACAUAAAGUCUUAUCUGCAGCAGCCCUAAAAUCUGUAAAAAUCCCUUUUUAACACUGAACAAAUCUCUUAAUAUGUUUAAUAUUGGCCAAAUCCUGAUUCUCUGACACACUUAGGCGUUCACAUUUUCACUUGCCUCCUGCACACAAGGCUUUGAUUCAGAAACCUCGCUAACACACACACACACACACACACACAUUAUGAACAGUCUUUAUUGAGAUGUAAGUGCUUAUAUAAACAUGGACAAGCCCUAUUGAGGGUUCAGGCUGGGGCUGAACAAUAAGAGGGUAAAAGUUGUUGGACGUUCCUCACAGACGUACAAAAUCCAAUUAUCAGAGCCAUGGCGUUAACAUUCCAACAGUCUGGCAGGUGACGGAUCGGCCUUUUCAGGGCCCCCCUCCCACACAGACUGGAACAGCGGCACCGCCACAAUACACACACACACACACAAAAUCUCCUAAGCUCCGUUGAUCUAAGAUCCUCAAGUAUUGAGACAUAUAGAGGGAAGAAGGCAAAGCGUAGGGAGGCAGUUGGGGUCUGGGGGUCUGCCACAGCCACUGGUCUUUUCUUUGAGAGAUCAGCACAAUCCGCCCAGCAAGCCAUAUCAGUCAAUGGGGCAUUCUUCUCUCUGCCUCUGGGUGAGAAAAUGCUGAUUGCUGAUAACACUGCUUUGAUUGCCAUAAUGGGAAAACAACUUUUUGUUUGCCGCAUUUGCCUCUAAACAAUAAGUGCCUUGUCGACCCUGAGCGAUGUUAGUGGCACACAAGAUGCUGAUUACGUUAACGGUAUAACAAAAAUCUUGCUCUCGGCCAGAGUGUGGUAAAGUGUUAAAAAAUGUUUCAAAAUUCUGCAUUUUUUGAGGUUCUGGUUGGUAAAUAAUUUGUUUAAUUGCUUUUGCAUUAAACCCCUAGAGGUAUCAUGAAGUUCGGGAUCAGUAAAAUAUUUUUUAAAAUUUCUUUCCUUUAAAAAAGCUACAUAUAUGCAGUUUUUAUCACAUUUAGAGACAGUGUACGUGACUGGGCCCAUGUGAUAUGCAGGGCAUCUGCCUACUGUCCUGCCCCCUGGUCAUCUCCUAAUAAGAGUUAACAUAUUUAAAUAUGUGUAGAGAGAGUUGCUGAACAAGAUACACACACUAUGGAACAUAAUUAUUCUCUCUUUUUUUUUUCUCAGAUGACAAAAAAAUCUAAAAACAUUUUUUAUAAAUACAUAUGUGUUGAAACAUAUUUUUAAAAUUUUGAUAUUUUUUCAGUUGGUCUUUAUACAAAUGUGAUUAAUAAUCUUCUAAUUUAUCCUCAGCACAAUGUUUAAUAAAUCAUUUGUUUCUGUGUAUAAACUAAAUUAAAAUGAUUUUUUUUGUAAGCCGACUUCCUGUGUUUUCAUUUAACUUCAUAAAUAACAUUUCAAAGUUUUAAAGUUGCCACUUUUUCCACUUCACUUGUAAGUCCACCUGCUCUACAUUGUACUCACUCACGUUUUCUCCUCUUCUGUGUUUUUGCUGUCCUCCUGCACACUGCAAUGCGAGUCAAGUGCCUUGUGGCUUUCUCCACCCUCACCAGAAAGCCUGCAUGCAGUUAAUUAUUCUUGGAUGGUGGUUGCAAAAAAAAAGGAAUUCUUUCUUUUUUUCACUCACUCAGCAGCGGUUUCCCAUUCAUAAUAGUUGGCACUGGUUCUGCACUCCCUGCCAGAGAUCACACCCCAACCAUUUUCAUUUUCCUUCAUCCAUUUGUUUCAUUCAUGU
This is a long non-coding RNA of Cynoglossus semilaevis (tongue sole), 5810 nucleotides long. RefSeq lists it as uncharacterized. The transcript has 3 exons. NCBI's taxonomy places the organism in Eukaryota, Metazoa, Chordata, Actinopteri, Pleuronectiformes, Cynoglossidae. The record is from RefSeq and is a predicted model, not a curated record.